Long non-coding RNA from Corvus hawaiiensis (hawaiian crow), 2698 nucleotides. RefSeq lists it as uncharacterized. The transcript is spliced from 3 exons. The record is from RefSeq and is a predicted model, not a curated record. NCBI's taxonomy places the organism in Eukaryota, Metazoa, Chordata, Aves, Passeriformes, Corvidae.
UCUGGUGCUGCUGCUCGGCCCCGCCGGAGGCGCCAUGUCCCUGCGGGAAUUAGCUGUGCUUGGGUGUUAAUAAAACAAAAAAGUGUAUUCUCUAAGGCUGACAGUGUUGUGCUCAAGCUACUCUGGGUUUGUUUUCUUUUUUUUUUUUUUUUUCUAAACCUGUGGUGAGAUCCUGGUUCAGAAGAGCAAGAAUCAGCUGAACCGCAAAACUCCAGCCCAUCAUUCUGUCAGUGUUGAUCCGCCUGCCCUCAGGCGUUGGUGUCCUGCCGCGUUUGUGAAAAGAGUCACGGAGUGCAUAUGAGUCAUCCUGUUAACAGCGUGAGUUUGCAGACAGCAAAAUCAUAGUACUCAAAGGCUCUGAUUUGCCUCCCAAGUAGGAACCAGGACAGUCUCAAAGCAGAUUUUUACUCUGAGAAUGUCUGCUGAAAAAGUGACAUCACAGCUCUUAUUCUUCAAGGGAAACAGAGGCUUCAUCAGAGAACAGUGAUGAAACCCACAAAUGAAUUCAUCUGUGCCUUACCUUGUAUCCGACUGGAGAAGUGAUGACCCAGAAACAUGCUCGGUUUUUGGGGUAUUUACUGGGGUAGUUUGGAGAGGUGAUGACUCCCUUUGAAUCUCUGAAAGUGGCUCCACAAUUCACUGAGGAGUAAAGGAGAGAACCAGAUAUAUUAACAAGAGCGUUUUGUCAGUAGAAAUGAGCUUGCUUACACCCUACUCUAUUAUUUCUUCAAACCAAGAAAAAAUGUGCUACCAUGAAAAUCUGCUGCUGAAGUACUUUAUUUCUUCACUUAGUAUUUGUAUCAGCAGCUGUACCGAAGGAACUAGAAACGUGUCUGAUAAAGAAUCUUUGGAGGACAGGGAACAGCUGCAUCUAAAGCUGUAUCUGACUUUCCAAUCGACUGUUAUGUAUUAGCAUAGCAUUCUCAUGGCACUAACUGCCCUUCAGAAAAGAACCAGCUCAAGCAUUCAAGAUUGCAAUAUCAAGCUAGAUCUAGUGCUUUCUAGAAAUUAUUCAACUGAAUAAAGCAAAAAGAGUAAAAAUAACACAUUUCUAAGACUUCUUCAAUUUAUACUUUAAAGAAGUUUGGAUUUUCAGUUGAAAUAAGGCAAUUUUGGGCUACUGCCUUCUUGCUGAAAGCAUGUCCCAGCACAACAGAAUUUGGUCUGGCAGUCCAUAAUGCAUUUGUGUGUUUGCAAAAAAGACACCCCUCAAGCGAUUACAGGAAGCACUGUGUUUCGUGUACAUAAUAAAAGCUUUUAAUUCAGAAAGUGUAAGGUACCCAAGGUCAGUACCUCUCCCACUGCAUAAAAUCCCACAAAACCUUAAAUAACAUCUUGCCAAGAUACUGGCUUUGCAUCUCAUUGGGUGAGGUCUCUUGUUGAGUUCUGCAGUCUUUGUGCUCUUUGGCUGCACUGCUCCUAUUAAUUUCAGUCAUUGCAUUGUUUUUAUUUAAAGACAUUUUUCUGGAGAUAUGAAGAAGUCUAACAAGCUCUCAGAAGAAUGUGAGCGGGAUCUCAGGAUUACUAACACGAGGCCCGUGCAACAUCCCACUUUCUGCUUCCUGUGAACUUUCAGACCCAUCAUUGCCUGGCCUUCUGCCUUUCCAAUUGCUGUGAAAGUGUAAAGAAUGACAGUGAAAAGACCCACUCUGUAGGGUAUAGUAAAAAUGUACACUUCUUCCAUACAAAUACUGCUAAUGCUGUUCUCCAAGCUUUGUAAAGGAGUGUUCAUACCCCUGUUGUAGGAGGCUCUGAAUCCUGUGGCUGUAAUGCUCUCAUCGCUUGCAAAUUCUACCAGCACUGUCGAUCCAGAUGCCACUAAGGAGGGCAGUGGGCCCUUCCCACAGUACUUGUCCAGCAAGACAGGGGAGCUCUUGCUGUUCCCGUUGUAAAUUUUUAUAUAGUCAGAAGAACAGUCUGUGGAGUGUUGGAGAUCAAAAGCCUCAAACUGCAGGAAAAUCUUGAGAAACAAAAAAGCAGAUGUUGGGUUUAAGGUUAUACACAGGGAAAGUCUCAAACUAUCUACUUGAAUAUGAAGUGAACCUUCAUAUUCAUUUUACUAUCCAUGUAUUACUGAAACUUUACUUUCUUUAUGAAAAGAGCACAGAAUUUCACCUAGCUAUCCUAGUACUGAGAUCCCAGAGACUGAUGUUUCACUACUGCUUGUGUUUGAAAAGCCAUCCAAUCUGAACUGGAUAAAAAUCGAGUUAAAUAAUCCCUCUAAUAGUCUUAAGUCUUAUGAAAAUUGUUGAGACUUUCAUUCACUGAGUAACAAAAUAAAUGUCUUGGUCCAUGAAACUGACUCCCAGGGGUUACUCAUGGUAACAAAAUAAUGCUUUGUAGCCUGGAUACUGUGGGUCAAACCUUUUUUCUCCUAAUAAAAAUUACCUUACUUCGACGGAUGCGGAUCAACCACAGACAGUUGCUGUUGUUCGGGUAUGGGGAUGGGUAAUUGACAGAGGAGAACGAGCCUUUGGGUUUAGGCAACACAGAGCUACAGCAAUCUGAAGGGAAGAACCAAACAGUGUUGAAGAGAAUGAAAACUGCACAAAAGUAUUCCUGAAAUGCCUGACAGGUCUCUCCAACCAUUUGCAGCAGUCAAGCUUGUAUAAAUUAAUUAUAAUGCUUACAAUUGUUUUGAUGUUCCUUGUGUAAAAGCUAUUGAAAACCUGCAAGUGAAAUAAAGGUAGGUAAAGUA